CGACUACGAGUUUGAUCAGUGGCUCAGAUUGAACGCUGGCGGCAUGCUUUACACAUGCAAGUCGAACGGUAACAGGCCUUCGGUGCUGACGAGUGGCGAACGGGUGAGUAAUGCAUCGGAACGUGCCCAAUCGUGGGGGAUAACGUAGCGAAAGUUACGCUAAUACCGCAUGAGACCUGAGGGUGAAAGCGGGGGAUCGCAAGACCUCGCGCUAUUGGAGCGGCCGAUAUCAGAUUAGGUAGUUGGUGGGGUAAAGGCCUACCAAGCCGACGAUCUGUAGCUGGUCUGAGAGGACGACCAGCCACACUGGGACUGAGACACGGCCCAGACUCCUACGGGAGGCAGCAGUGGGGAAUUUUGGACAAUGGGCGCAAGCCUGAUCCAGCCAUGCCGCGUGCGGGAAGAAGGCCUUCGGGUUGUAAACCGCUUUUGUCAGGGAAGAAAUCUUCUGGGUUAAUACCUCGGGAGGAUGACGGUACCUGAAGAAUAAGCACCGGCUAACUACGUG
Molecule: ribosomal RNA, 508 nt
Filed under: uncultured bacterium
Lineage: Bacteria
Description: bacterial SSU rRNA
Rfam family: Bacterial small subunit ribosomal RNA
Source: RNAcentral